AUUUAUAUAAUAUAUCUAGUAUAUUUGACUUCCAAUCAAAAAGUUUUUUUAAAAUAUAAAUA
This 62-nucleotide transfer RNA is filed under the name Wormaldia unispina. RNAcentral describes it as "tRNA-Gly". RNAcentral also lists the same sequence under 1 other name. Lineage: Eukaryota; Metazoa; Arthropoda; Insecta; Trichoptera; Philopotamidae. The record is from RNAcentral.